This 5775-nucleotide long non-coding RNA is filed under the name Triticum aestivum (bread wheat). RNAcentral describes it as "long non-coding RNA (TAES_LNC016302)". The record is from RNAcentral. Lineage: Eukaryota; Viridiplantae; Streptophyta; Magnoliopsida; Poales; Poaceae.
GUGCCUCGCGCGACUCUGCCUUCUGCUGCUGCUCCGUCUUCUCCUUUACCUGCUGCUGCUCUGCUUCCACGCCUUGCUGCUGCUCCCUCCUACUGCUCCCUAAACUUGUUUGCUGCUGCUUCCCCUCUCCUAGCGCCUCAACCUGCUGCUUCUUCUUCCCCAAACUCUGCUACUACUCUCCCUUUUCCUCUCCCUUCACCUGCUGCGAUCUCUCUCUCUCCCACAUCUUUGCUGCUACCCCUGCUGAACCCUCUUCUCUCCUUGCUGCUCUUUCUCUUCUCCCUCAAUGCCUGCUGCUGCUUCCUCUCAACGCCCCUGCUACUUCCUUCUUCUCCCACGGCGUACUCUGAACCCCAUACUGCUGCUACUACGUUCCACCUGCUGCUGUUCUCUCUCUCUCUCGCUUUCUCUGAAAAUUUCUGUGAAGUUAGGCAGUGUAUGACAUUUAAUAUUCAGAUUUGAUGCGUGCUUGCAAUCUGUAAUUGGUUCAGUUGUACUUGUAAUAUAACGUCAAUCUUAUGUGUACUGACUGGUCGAUGCACCUAUAUAAAUUCGGUUUACCUAUGCUAUAUUCUUCACUUGUAUGGUUCAUGUGUGUGUGUGUGUGUAAUUUUGUGAACCAUUAGUGUUGAGACUUAUUCAAUUGUAGACUGCUUUGCGCUAUUUCAAUAUAUGUGAUUCAUCUGUCAAGUAGCCGUCUGUUACAUUCAGUUUACUUGUUCUGAAUCUUAUUCUAAAAUUGCUCUCUAUUGUAGUCAGGGAGUAAUUUUCAGUAUCUGUGUAGCUAUGUACCUGUGAUAUAAGUGUUUGUAAUGUGACCCAUAUACAUUCUGCUAUAUGUGUUCAUGUCCUGUUAUUCCCUUUGUGUUACUGUUUUAAUUUCUCAUGCAAAUAAAAAUAAUACCAAAAAGACAGAGAGUAUAAUCUGAACCUCCCUUUGCUUCUUUUCAUUUACUUUGUCUGUUGAUUUUCUGGAACUGUCUUAGAUAGCUUAGGUUUAUUUUCCCUGUAAUCGUCACUUAAAUUGUCUAGCCUAGCUUUAGCCAAGCAUCAUCGCUGAUCAUUUAGUCCCGUGGAGAACACGACAUCCGUAGUUUGGGCAAAUAUUCCACUACAUUUACAAUCGAUCAUUUUGGCGCCGUUGCCGGGGACUAGCAUCGAGCGAUUGUGUGAAGCUAUAGACUAGGCUUAGUAUAGUUCUUGUUUAAAUUUCCAGUCAAAUUUAUUUCUGUGUUUCUUUUACCUUUUUACUUUUUGUUGCUUCGGCUUAUUAAGAUACUAACCCUCUCACCAGAGCUUGAUGUCUGUGAGCGUGUGUAGGAUAUCUUACUAUUUGUAGGCUGAUUGACAGUUGCGCUUGAACAUAUGGCUUUAGUAUGUGAUCUUUGGUUGCCAAGUAGUUUGGGCACGAUGACAGGGCCAAUUUGGCCAUCUAUUGAGGCCGAAAAUUUUGAGUUGAGGCCUGGACUUAUUGCUCUCGUCUUGCAGAAUCAGUUUAGAGGAUUACCCAAUGAAGACCCUCAUGAGCACAUUUGUAAUGUCCUGGAGUAUGCCAAUACUGUCCAGUACCAUGGCGUUUCCCAAGAUGCUAUCAAGUGUAUGCUGUUCACAUUCUCUCUCAGAGAUGCUGCUAAGGACUGGUACUAUUCUUUGCCAUCAAGAUCAUACACUUGGGGUGAUAUUUCGCAAGCUUUCCUGCACAGAUAUUUUCCACUUUACAAGCAAGCUGCAAUUCGUGACCAGAUCCUCAGUUUUGUGCAAGAUGGAAGUGAGAGCUUGUAUGCAGCUUGGGAGAGAUAUAAGUAUUUGCUUAGAAAAUGUCCUAAUCAUGGGCAAAAGGAUUGGUUAGUGCUCCAGAUAUUCUAUAGAGGGCUGACACAUGCUUCGAGAGAUCUUGUUGAUAUGUCCGCUGGUGGAACAAUCAUGAACAAGACCGUUGAGGGUGCAAUUAUUCUCAUUGAGAGCAUUGCCUUCCACCAAAUGCAAUGGGGUUAUGAAAGGCCUAGUUCAAAUCCGAAGGUUGCAAGCCAUCUGCAAUCCGAAGCUGUGUGUUCCAUAAGUGAACAGAAAUCAUCCAUGGUGCCUAAUAUUCAAAACCAGCAUGUUCCAUUCCGGGGACAACAACAUUUCAGAGCUGAAUUAGAUCCUCCAUGUAGAAAGAUUGAUCUUACUUCAAGUAUCCUUGAUGAUGAUUAUGAUAUUUUUCAAGAUGAUGCAACCAUUGUAGAUCAGAUGGAAACCAAAGUAGCAGAUCCAAUACCUCAUGGCAAUGAAACUGUCCAGACUGAGUCAAAGUGGCAAGAAGAUGUUUAUGAGGAACCUACUCUGAUUGAUGCUAAGUUGAGACAACAAGAUAUGGAGAAAUUCACUUGUGUUAGUCAACUAUGUGACUGGUGGAAUUUAGUCGUGGCACCAAUUGCCCACACUUGUGUUACAACUGUAUUUGGGAUAUUUGUCAAGAAGAAAUCAUUAGCUCCACCGGUGGUUGCCUCUAUCUCAGUUAAAGAGAGUAUCUCAGAGAAGAAUAGUGAAGAUGAGAUUCCAACACCUUCACAUUCAGCUGAGCAAGAUAGCGAGAGUCCAGAGGAAGAGAUACUUCAGAUCCAAGAAGAAAUUCUCGAAGCCAAGGCACAAGAUGAUCCAGAGCUCGAACAACAAAGUGAUCAAGUUGAAGAUUCAUCAUCUAUUACUCUUGAAGAAGCAAAAGAAGUUGAUGUGAUUGAAGAUUAAGAACCAGAAACGCAUUUGCCCAUCGUCAUACAGGAGCGUGAUUUAGCAGGUUUAUCCAAUCCUCUUGAUGACAUGAUGCCUUGUGAUUUCUUUGCUACUACCUUGCAUUACAUGAUACCAUCAAUUAAGCUAGACUUGAAAAAUUAUUUGCUUGGACAUGAUCAUACAUACAUUGUUGGUGGCAUUUCUCUCAUUCCUGAUGAUGACACUUAUUUUCCUUAUGCUAGUCCUAUGCUUAAUGAAACAUAUUAUUCCCAUGCUAGUCUUGAGCUUAAUGAUAAAUUUCAUCCUCAUGUUAGUGUCGACCUUGCUGAUUUCUACCAUCCUAAACACGUGCUUUAUAGCUAUGCUUAUGUAAUUGGAUAUUCGAUUGAUGACUUGGAGGGUAUUAUCCCUACCACUUGCAUUGUCUCUUUUGUUGAGAGUGCUUUCAGGUUUUUGCUUGUGCACGAUCCAUUACAUGCUGACCAGGUUCGAGGUGACAUUCCUUGGGACCCUGGUGGACUCAGAGCAUGGGGAUGAGGAGAAGCAAGGGGGCACACACGAGGAAGGGAGAAGCUGGAGCAGGCAUGAGGAUAGAGAAGCAAAAGGAGAGGAGCUGUAGUUGGUGAGGUGAUCGAGCGAGUGCUACAUCAUCAAAGCCCGGUGAGCUGUUUCAUGACCCAUUCCGAAUAUAUCAUCCAUUGAUACAUGCUGAAAUCAAAUGUUAUUUGGGUUGCUUAAGCCAUGUCUUAAAUGUUGCCCCACUGAAAUUCACCUUUGGCAUUGUGCUUGAUGUGAAUUUGUGAACUUGAUUUCUGAAUGCCUUGUAAACUAGUGAUCUACACCAUGCAUGCUUUGCUGAAAUUUGUGGAAGUUAUUAGUUUUGAGUGCUCAAAUCCCUAGUACACUAGAAAACUGAAUCAUUUUCUGCUUUUACCUCGAUACACCUAGAUCACCACGUUUAGAUGCUGAAUUUGUGCCAAGUGUCUUCCCAUUGAGAGCAAUCACCUAACCACUAUGGAUUAGCAUGCUAUGUUCCCUGGAUCGGUAGCAUGUGAACCAGACAUGGAGAAGUGAUGAUUCCUAUUUUUGUGCUUAUGAGUUGUUCAUUUAAGAUAAAUAAUAAUGAAUAAAUAAGUCUGGCUACCUACAGUAGCAUGUCAUGUUCCCGGGAUCGGUGGCAUGUGAAAUCUGGUAGCUUGGACAGUAAUAAAUAAAUAAAAAUGUAAUUGUCGAACCAGGUGUAUACCAUGUUCUCGGGAUCGGUGGUAUGUUCCUUUGGGGAGACAAACAAACUAAAAAAAACUAAUAAUUGGUCGAGCCAGGUGUAUACCAUGUUCUCGGGAUCGGUGGUAUGUUCAUAUGGUGAGACUAAUAAUAAUAUAAUCAUUGCUUUAUCUCUGUAAAAAAAGUGAUUUGAUCACAAAAUUUAAUUCCAGUUCAUUUUGUUCUUGGGAUCAUGCUCUCUUUAGGAACCAUUUGGCACAGUCAUCAUUUAAACUUGUUGAUCCUCUUUUAUCAUUGUAAAAGUUUAAAAUGGUCAUGCUUACUAGUAUUCUAUUGCUCUGUAGCACUCUUAACCAUUGAUUUUCACUAGUUAAGUCCAAAGCAUGCUUUGUUUGGAGAUCUACUUCACUGGGACAUUCUCCAGUCAGCUCACUGUUCAUUAUCUAGCUCUUGUCAUAUUCCUUUGCUUGAGGACAAGCAAAAGUUUAAGUGUGGGGGAACUUGAUAAGCACAUUUCAUACACAUCUUUUGGCACUCAAAUAUGCGGUUUAUUGAGAUAUGACCAUCAAUUCUUGCUGUAAAAUAUUGAAUAUUUGCAUGAAAAUCAUAUGAAGAGUCAUUUACUAGUCAUUUGUUUCUUUUGCAGAUAAGUGCGAGAAGGCACUAUAAACUUCAAGAUCCAGACUAAGUGGCUAAGAGAACGAAGAAGAGGAGGAAGAAUUGACUUGUGCGAGAAGAAACGAAGUAACCAGGGGGCCAACUAUUGAAGAGAGGAUCAUCUUGUGCUAAAAGUAAAGAAGGAGGGGGGCCAAAUUAAAAAAAUGACAGAUCAGAGGAGGGGAUCAAAUCCCUAGACGCCUCCUUCGUUCCCCUUGGNNNNNNNNNNNNNNNNNNNNNNNNNNNNNNNNNNNNNNNNNNNNNNNNNNNNNNNNNNNNNNNNNNNNNNNNNNNNNNNNNNNNNNNNNNNNNNNNNNNNNNNNNNNNNNNNNNNNNNNNNNNNNNNNNNNNNNNNNNNNNNNNNNNNNNNNNNNNNNNNNNNNNNNNNNNNNNNNNNNNNNNNNNNNNNNNNNNNNNNNNNNNNNNNNNNNNNNNCCCUCUCCCCUUCUUCUCCACCACCGGCCGCCGCCACGGCCAGGCCGGCGUGGUGGUGCGCCACCCAGCACCUCCACCCGCUCCACUUCACCACUGCUCCACCCAGCACAUCCAGCAGCACCGCACAUAUCCACCACCCGCCGCUGCACCAUCCAUCCACCAACACCACCAUCGCCAUCUCGCGCGCACUACCAGACCCUGGUCUGGUGCCUCGCGCGACUCUGCCUUCUGCUGCUGCUCCGUCUUCUCCUUUACCUGCUGCUGCUCUGCUUCCACGCCUUGCUGCUGCUCCCUCCUACUGCUCCCUAAACUUGUUUGCUGCUGCUUCCCCUCUCCUAGCGCCUCAACCUGCUGCUUCUUCUUCCCCAAACUCUGCUACUACUCCCCCUUUUCCUCUCCCUUCACCUGCUGCGAUCUCUCUCUCUCCCACAUCUUUGCUGCUGCCCCUGCUGAACCCUCUUCUCUCCUUGCUGCUCUUUCUCUUCUCCCUCAACGCCUGCUGCUGCUUCCUCUCAACGCCCCUGCUACUUCUUCUCCCACGGCGUACUCUGAACCCCAUACUGCUGCUACUACGUUCCACCUGCUGCUGUUCUCUCUCUCUCUCGCUUUCUCUGAAAAUUUCUGUGAAGUUAGGCAGUGUAUGACAUUUAAUAUUCAGAUUUGAUACGUGCUUGCAAUCUGUAAUUGGUUCAGUUGUACUUGUAAUAUAACGUCAAUCUUAUGUGUACUGACUGGUCGAUGCAC